Rosa rugosa (rugosa rose) is the source of this 1475-nucleotide long non-coding RNA. RefSeq lists it as uncharacterized. The record is from RefSeq and is a predicted model, not a curated record. The transcript has 7 exons. Lineage: Eukaryota; Viridiplantae; Streptophyta; Magnoliopsida; Rosales; Rosaceae.
UAAAAAAAACUUCAAUUGCUUCGCCUUUUUACUUCGGCGACAGUUGCCGUCGCAAUUGACACCCUAUUGCUACGGAAAAUGUUCCGUCGCGAUUAAGGCUUAUCAUUUGCGACGGAAAAUCUUUGCCGUAGUAAAUUUGUAGUCAAUUGCGACGCCGUUUCCUCUUGCCGUCGCAAAACUUAUUUAUAUAUGUACUUUACAAAAAAAAAAAAAAAAAAAAAAAAUUACGGAAAGAAAGCCGUGGCAACACAUAAACGUCACCGUAUUACUCUGGCGGUAACCCAAAUAAUUUUCCCUCCGUUUUUUCUUUUGUUUUUUUGGCCAAAUGUCCUACUAACAAAACACUCAGCCCUAAUUCUUUUUCCCUCUUUUUCCCAAGGUCUCAAACAUCACCGCGCUCUUUCUCACUCUCGCCCAAACAUCACCCUCUUUCUGAGCUCCGGAACCUCACCGUUCCCGUCGUUCUAAACAUUCUGAUAACCGAAUCUUCUUCUUACCAUCAGCUUACAGCUCCUCGAACGGGAACCUACCGAGGUAUUUGGGCAAUGGCGUGCAGGCCUACUUCUCCUAUCGAGUAAUCAUCAAGCAGCAGGGUCUCUAGUUUUAAAUCGGUUUCUUUUUCCAUUACUAGGAAUCGCUUCCCAUCUCUGACUUCAAGACCUGGACUCUUUCAAGUUUCCUAUUCGUUUAAAACAUCCAUUAGUUAAAAAGGCUGCUCAUCUUCAAGUCAGCAGUGAAGAAUUUGGAAUUAAUUUUGGCAAUCCAAAGCCAAGAGCUUGAUAUUACCAGAAAACUUGCAUCUCACUAUGGAUAAGAGUUGGAUAAACUUAGGCAACAGAUGGUCAAAGAGGGUAGUGUUAAAGAUCGAAUUUUCCACUCUUUGAUGGGAGAUGAUGGUCAUGGGUAUUGUCGUACUUUUGGAGCUGGUGUGCCUCGUAAUCUAGUAUAUCCAAAGGAAUCAAAUAUAUCUCAAAGCACAGAUGAUCUCGUACAAAAAAUCACUGAACAAGUGCGUCAAGAGUUUCAACUGCAGCUUCAGCAACUACAUGCUCGAAUUGAUUUUCUGCAGAAUAAGGACAGUAGCACAUAGUCUCCUAAACAGGUUGCUGAUGCAACUAGCAGGCAUGAAAUUUUGAGGGAGUCUAUAGGAGAUGAAAUAACUCCGAAUGCAAAUAGUGACCAGCCAUUGUUGGAGCAGAAUUCUCCAGUAACAUCCCCUUCACAAAAUGGAUCUGAAAGGGUUCUCAUGGCAAAAAGAGCAAAGCAAAUGAAAGCAAGUGCAAAGCUCACAAAAUGACAAAGUAAAAUGAUGCACUUGUGAUUGUUGUUUUAUUUUAAGAGUGCUUAUUAUAAUGUUCAAUACUUACAAAUGACAUUAUUUUCACUUUAGUAUUUGUAUUUGAAUAUGGUACAAUGAGUCAAUGGAUAUGUUUAAGUAUAUUAUUCAUGAAUUAAUGUUAUUUUGAUUUAAUAGA